AUCCCAUGAUGUGGACACUUACAAAGUAACUCCUUAAAUUUCUCUCAAGCCUCAUACAAAGACUCGUCAUCCAAUUGUUGGAAAGUUGUGAUCUCACUCAUUAACUU
This is a non-coding RNA of Gossypium raimondii (Peruvian cotton), 107 nucleotides long. Lineage: Eukaryota; Viridiplantae; Streptophyta; Magnoliopsida; Malvales; Malvaceae. The record is from Rfam.